AUUUUCGUGAAGUUAAAUAUUUAUAAAAGUGAAAUAGGAGAUGUUGGCUGAAGGUUUACUGCAAAUUAGGUUUAAUGCAAAUAAAAAAGAAUUCAAAAGAUACCAUUUUGUAAUUCGACACAAGUCUUUCCAGGAGACGUGGAAAAAGUAAGAGGUCUCAAAAAAAACAAGGUGGGCACCUAAAUAAACUGAAACAAGGCCAUAAGUGCAUCAAACUGUUAUGCUUGACUAAGUCAUGCCAGCCCAAGUAGAACUAUGCUGGACAGAUCUAAAGUCAAAUCCAAGUUCAGCUCACAGUUAUGGAGGAUAUGCCCUCUUACAUAUUCUACCAUAUUUUGUAUGCUUUGUCAUAUAAAAGGAGAUAAGAACUGUGAUAAACAAAAAAUAUGUUGCAAAUGAGAAAGAGAUACAUGGAAGCCACAUUGCUCAUAACUUUGGAUGGAUGCUAAAACCUCAACCAAUUAGGACCUUCCCAUGGGCACUGGCAUCAUGUGUAGCAAAUUUUUUCGUGGGACAUAUUCUAUAUAUGUUGAAAUGUUACAUGGGCAUAGGCAAUGCCAGAAGAUUUAAAGUGUCUGCUUCUUUAACCAUAUUCUUAGAUAUCAGAUACUGUAAUUGAGGAUCGUUUUGGUGUUGAGCAUGGAAGUGAUGAAUGGUAUGAAGCGUUGGAACAGCAUUUCAAGUGGCUUCUUCAGUAUAGAAUAAGCCCAUACUUUUGCAGAUGGGGAGACAGUAUGCGUGUUUUGACUUACACCUGCCCAUGGCCAGCUGAUCACUGGAAAUCAGAUGAAUAUUUGUCUGACCCAAGAUUGGCAGCAUAUGCUGUACCAUACAAUCAAGCAGUGUCUGG
Molecule: unclassified non-coding RNA, 850 nt
Filed under: Hevea brasiliensis (rubber tree)
Lineage: Eukaryota; Viridiplantae; Streptophyta; Magnoliopsida; Malpighiales; Euphorbiaceae
Source: RNAcentral